UUUUCUUUUAUUAUUUGCUUAUGAAGAAUUGUGAUUGAGAGAAGUAUUGUUGAAACUAUGAUUAGAAUAUUGUAGAAUAUGACUUUGGACUGACCAUUUUGGAGAAAAUCUAUGACCUUGUGUCACGGACCAAAAAUACAAACAAGAAAUCUAAACAAGAAGUUCAAGAAGAAAUGACAAGAACUAGAUUAUCAGAUGAGUGCAAGAGCAACGCCAAGAGAAUUGAGCUAGAGCUUCAAGAGAUGUGUUGUCGAGACUGAAGAACUCUUCAGCCUCGACUCCUAUAUAUACUACUGGCCUAUGGUUCUAAGGAAGCGCAUCAAGAAGCUUCCCAAGAACUAUGAAGCUUCUCGAGCAACUACCCAAGAGCUAGGAAGCUUCUCAAGUAACUUCCUAGAAUCUACUAGAAUAUUCUAAGAAUCUUCUAGAGCCUUCUAAGAGAAUCUUUAGGGAAUCUUCAAAGAAUCUUUAGGGAAUCUUUGAAGAAUAUUCUAAGAAAAUAUUCAAGGAAUCUUCUGGAAGUUUUUAGAGACUUCUUUCUAGAAGGUUCUAGAAACUUGUCUCUAGAAAGGUCUAAGGACUAUGUCCCUAACAUCACCUCCUCCUUUAGCUUCGAGGUCUCCGAGAAGUAAUGUUAUCGUCAGUCAAUACCAACGCAAGAAAAUGAAGAUCUGUCACAUAACCUCUGCUAUGAACUCCAAUUGUUGUUCACAAGGCAAGUGAUUCAAUGGUCCUUGAAGCGAACGGUAGUGGCCCACGCCUUCAACUUCUGACCAAGCAUGAACCUCCGUGUCUUCAUUAUGAAAUUGUCCUGCAAACACUCCUUCUGGUUGACCAAUGUAGGAAGGCUCGACCUCAAAUACAAUCACCAGCGAUUUGUUGCUCGGAAUCCUUCGACGUCGUCAUGGUGCAAGCGGUUCUUCAUCUCGCGGUCGUCUUCGUGAGCUAGUUGCUUGAGAUGACAUGACAAGUGUAGUAUCUUGGCUAUCCAUAUUCAAAGGCUAAAACAAUAAGAACAAACUUGGGCUACUAACAAAGCUCUACGCUAUCUUGGAGAGAAUGACUACAUCAACUAUGGAUUUUGGUGGUGCUCUCUCCUCUUUUCUGUUUUCUGGAUGAGCAAGCUUCAGUAAGAAGCUAUUGUCGAACCGGCUUGGGUUUCUCAGGAUAUCGUCGAUGAAACUCCUGUACCUUUUGUGGCGCAUUCGCGAGAUUUUCGGCCGGCUCCCAUGUUCGUUCAUUAAUAUCGUAACCGCUCCAAUGCACAAAGUAUUCUAAUUUACCCCGUCUUUGCCGUGAAUCCAGGACCUUUUCCACCUCGUAUUCUUUGUGGUUCUCUAUUUCUAUGCUAGGUAGUGGACAUUGUACUCUUCCAGGAAAAGACGAUUCUCGAUAAGGCUCCAACAAAGAAACAUGAAAGACAGGAUGUACCUUCAUAGUAGCUGGUAACUCCAGACGAUACGCUACAGGAUUGAUCUGCUUCUAGAUAACAAAUGGUCCCAAUCUCCGAUAGUCCAAUUUGUCACAUGGCCGCUUGGUCUUAAUAUUUCGUCGAAGCAGCCAAACUUUGUCUCCAAUUGUGAAUUUAGGUGCCUAAUUCCGAAAUUUGUCCGCGGACGCCUUGUAAGAUUCUUGGGCAGUUUGCAAUUGAAGCUUCAAUGUAGUUUGAAGCUGCGAAAGCUCCUUCACCAAUCCUUCAGCUGUCGGAUUGUUAAUCGUUGACGAACUCCAUAAGUCAAGCUUCGGAUGGUAUCCAUAAUUGGAAAAGAAUGGCGUUUGUUGAGUUGACGCAUGAAGGGUGUUGUUAUAUGCAAACUCGGCUAGCGGUAGAUAUGUGACCCAAUCAUCUUGUUGAUAGUUGAUGGUGCAAUGUAAAUAUUGCUCUAAAACUUGAUUCACCCGUUCUGUUUGGCCGUCCGUUUGAGGAUGAAAUGCCAAAGAAAGCUUGAUAUCCACCUUCAAUAUUUCAAAAAGAGAUUUCCAAAACUUUGACACAAACUCGGUUCCUCGAUCCGAUACGAUAUCAUUUGGUAGACCAUGAUAUCGAUACACAUUAUCAAGAAAGAGUCUUGUUGUGUCUUCGCUUGACGAUGUCUUCUUGCAAGGGACAAAAUGCGCCAUCUUUGUAAGCCGGUCUACGACAACAAAAAUGCUGUCAAAUGAAUUCGAUGGUGGUAGAUCCGUAAUAAAGUCCAUGGAAACCGAAGACCAUGGUCGACGCGGAAUAGGUAAUGGCUGUAGAAGUCCAUAAGGCCGAUGUCGAGGGUUUUUGGAUCUUGAACAAAUGUCAUAAGAUACAACAAAAUCUUUCACAUCCUUCCACAUUUGAGGCCACCAGAAAUCGCGGGAAAUAAGUUCCAAGGUCUUAUUGAAUCCAAAAUAUCCCGCAGUUGGAAAGUCAUGACGAGAUCGAAGAACUCGGAGUCGUGUUGGCCCUUUUGGGAUAUACAACCGCUCUUCGAAAUAUACUAGAUCUCCUUCCAUCUUGAAUUUAUCAUCACUAGUAUGUUGCUUGAUACCAAGGGCUAGAGAAUCUUCAAUGGUUGCGACCCGUAUCUGGUCGAGGAAGUCAGCAUCAAUUGGUACAAUAGCUGCGUUGAGCCGAAAUUUCUCUGGCUUCAACAAUGUCGUGCAAUGUUGAUCAAAUGCUGCAUCUCUAGCCUUUGGCGCGAGAUAUGAUCUCCUUGAUAAUGCAUCGGACAACCCUUGUUGCUUCCCAGGCCAAUAAGUAAUAACAAAGUCGAACCUGGAUAGCGACAUACUCCACCGAGCUUGACGUCGAUUCAAAAUCCGAGCCGACAUAAAAUACUCCAAAUUCUUGUGAUCCGUAUAUACGGUCACUGGAUGUGCAGUUCCUUCGAGAAAGUGGCGCCACUCUUGGAAAGAAUCUACUAUAACAAGGAGUUCCUUAUCGUGGAUCUCAUAGUUGAUCUCAGCAGCAGAGAAUUUUCGAGAAUAGAACGCAACUGGAUGGAGCUUCUCAUCUACGCCCAUCUGUGAAAGUACAGCUCCCAAAGCAAAAUCCGAAGCAUCUCUCUCCAAAUAAAAGGCCUUUGUAAAGUUCGGAUGUACCAAGAUUAGAGCUGUAGUAAAUACCAUCUUCAAAUCUUGAAAUGCUUUUUCUGCGAUAGGUCCCCAUUCGAGCUUGUCCUUACACGUUAACCGAGUGAAAGGGGCAGCAACUUGAGAAUAAUUCUUGAUGAAGAUUCGAUAGUAGUUAGCAAAUCCAAGAAAACAUUGUACGUCCCUAACCGUCUUCGGAACUUUCCAAGACAUGAUUGCUUCCACCUUCUUUGAAUCUAUCUUCAAGCCUUCCGUAGUCGCGAUGAAUCCCAAAAACUCCAUCUCAGUUUGGUGAAAUAAGCACUUCUCCAAUUUGGCAUAGAAUCCUCGCUCCCGUAGUUUUUUGAGUACCAGACGAACGUGCUUCUCAUGUUCUUCCUCGUUCUUAGAAAAUAUCAAAAUAUCAUCUAGAUAGAUGACAACAAAAUCGUCUAGAUGCUCUCGAAAGAUGUCAUUCAUCAUGUGUUGAAAGACCACUGGAGCAUUAGUAAGACCAAAUGGCAUGACAUUGUAUUCAAAAUGGCCAUACCUUGUUCGGAACGCUGUCUUCCAUUCAUCUCUUUUCUUAAUUCGCACAAGGUUGUAAGCUCCCCUUAGGUCAAUCUUUGUAAAGAUCCUUGCACGCCCAAGUUGUUCUAGAAGACCGGAAAUCAAAGGUAGUGGAUAGCGAUUCUUUUUUGUCACCUUGUUGAGACCUCGAUAGUCCACGCACAUCCGUAGUGAGCCAUCCUUCUUCUUCACAAAUAAGAUUGGUGCCCCAACUGGCGACUUCGAAUGACAGAUGAAGUUCUUGGCUAGAUUCUCGUCAAUGUACUUCCGCAACUUAGUCAACUCCGUCUGCGACAAAUUGUAGAUUGGUCCAAAAGGUGGUUGUGCUCCUUCUUGCAAUUCAAUGGCACAGUCAUAGGGUCGAUGCUCUGGCAGCAUAUCAGCAUUCUUCUUUUCAAAGACAUCUUUGAAUUCUUCAUACUGCUUUGGAAUAAUCAAAGUCGGAGUUGCAUCUUCUCGAGUCGGAGUUGCGAAGAUGACAAGAGGUGUAUUUUGCUUGGCUUCUUUCAUGAAAGCCCUUGCACCUAUAAACAAGGAUUUAUUUCUAGACAUUGUCUUGGCAGAUUCCACCUUCAAGGAGUUUGUUGGAAAUGUCACUUUCCGCAACUUCCAAUCUAUCAAUGGAUUAUAUCUAUCAAGCCAAGAUAGUCCCAAAAUGAUAGGACAUGAAGGGGUCUUGAUAACAUUAAAAACAAUAUUGCUCUCAUGGUUUUCAAGACGUACCUUCAAUGGUUUAGUUUCAUGGAUAACAUUGCCCGAAGACAAUGGUCGUCCGUCUAUGACUUCUACAUGGACAAGCUUAAGUUUCUUUACAAGAGAAAUAUUGUGAAGCUUGGCAAACUCUUCAUCUAUAAAGCAAGCGGAUGCACCCGAGUCUAAUAAAGCAUCGACUUGUAGUUCUUGAAUACCCAGAUGUAAAGGUACCAUAAAACAAUCUGAAGGUUGAGCUGAGAGAAAGGGACCUUGAUUAAUUUUGGAUGUUGAGAUGUCCAGCCGCACAGUCCCUAUUGUGGCUGGGCGUCCUUGUUUUCCUGCAUGCUUGUACUCCUGAGUCUUGUUGUUUGAGGCUUCUGUUUCUUCCGACAAUCUACAGCUUUAUGGCCCGCUUCUCCGCAAUAUAAACACAAGUUUUGUUCAAACCGUCGCUUCCUUUCCUCAGCUGUGAGGGGUUUGAAACGUACCACAUCAAUUUUCAUGGGUUCAGGAUCUGUGGAGUGAUUCUCUGGACCUUUUGAAAAUGUAGCAAAUGCUCCAUCAUUUCUCCAGCCUGAUCGUCUUUCUUGUCGUAAUUCAAAGAGGCGGUUGUCACAAAUAAUUGCCUGAGAUAUAAGUUCUUCUAAAGUAUCCGCCUUAGGCAUGGUGAUCAAUAAGUUCUUGACAUCAUCUCUCAGUCCAUAUCGAAAUCGUGUCAUGAACGCCUUAUCAUUCCAAUCAAGAUCACAUGUAAGCUGUUGAAAUUCUGCAGCAUAGAUUGCAGCAGAACGUGAUCCUUGUCGCAGAUUUUGUAUCUUUCUUUCAGCCACUCUUUCUCGAUCGCUAUCUCCAAACGCAACAGUAAGUCUCUCUAUGAAAGCCUCUAGGUCGUACAAUAUUGGAGAAUCCUUCUCCAAUAGUGGAGCAAACCAAGAGUGAGCAUUUUCUGAUAGAAGAGUACCUAUGAAAGCAACCUGGAUAAAUCCAUUCGGAUAACGAGAAGGGUAUAGGCGUAGGUAAAGCCGUACUUGUUGCACAAAACCUCGGAAGUUGGCUCUUGUUCCGUCAAACUUGUUUGGCAUAUUCACUUUUGGUUCUUUCGUACUAAUCCUUGAAGUAUCCAUAGGGAUCGUAUGUGACACAUGUCUUGCUUCUCUUAGUCGAAUAAUCUCUUGUUGUAGGCUAUGAAUUUCACGUCUAGCUUCUUCGGUCACUAGAUCAAUUUGAGGUUCUUUACUUGGAUUGCGAAGAAAUGCAAUCUCCUUUCGUACACUAUUCAUAAGAGCUUGAAGAUCUGCAAGAGUUGCCACUCUAUUGUCUACUUGUGGAGAUGCACUAUCUAUGACCUGGUCUACUUCCAUAUUUAGAGAAUAGAUGGAUUAAAAUUUUGAGAGAAGAAGAAAUUGCUAAGUCUCUUGGAGAAAAUUGUAGCACUACCUGUCACUAAAACCUACUGGGAGAAAAGAAAAAAAACACUAAACGAUUUCAGUUUUAGAGGAGGGUAAUCCGCAACCUCUAAAAAUGCCUCAAUGCUUUCGAGAAGAGGGGUAAUCCGCACUCUAUCAAGAAGGCAAACCUCUGAAAUCGAUGUUAACAGUCUUUUUUACUAGCUAUGCUAAACAAAAAGAAGGAAUUAAUAUCAAUCCAAGGGAGGGUAAUCCGCAACCCUUAGAACGCUCAAGUAUCUCCAAGGAAAGGGGUAGUCCACUCUCUGCCUCAAAGAACUAAGCUCUGAUAUUGUGAUUGAGAAAAUAUCAGUUUAGAGGAAGGUAAUCCGCAACCCCUAAAGCGCUAGAAUACCUUCAAGAAGAGGGGUAAUCCGCUCUCAAACAAGAAGGAUUCAGCUCUGAUAUUAAGAUAAAGGUAGUCUCAACAAACUGUCAUGGACCAAAAAUACAAACAAGAAAUCUAAAUAAGAAGUUCAAGAAGAAAUGACAAGAACUAGAUUAUCAGAUGAGUACAAGAGCAACGCCAAGAGAAUUGAGCUAGAGCUUCAAGAGAUGUGUUGUCGAGACUGAAGAACUCUUCAGCCUCGACUCCUAUAUAUACUACUGGCCUAUGGUUCUAAGGAAGCGCAUCAAGAAGCUUCCCAAGAACUAUGAAGCUUCUCGAGCAACUACCCAAGAGCUAGGAAGCUUCUCAAGUAACUUCCUAGAAUCUACUAGAAUAUUCUAAGAAUCUUCUAGAGCCUUCUAAGAGAAUCUUUAGGGAAUCUUCAAAGAAUCUUUAGGGAAUCUUUGAAGAAUGUUCUAAGAAAAUAUUCAAGGAAUCUUCUGGAAGUUUCUAGAGACUUCUUUCUAGAAGGUUCUAGAAACUUGUCUCUAGAAAGGUCUAAGGACUAUGUCCCUAACACCUUGAGAAUUGAGAUUAUCGAAUUGUAUUGUAUUAAAUAAAGAUAUUGAAUUCUGUAUGAUGAAUUGAGAAACUAAAUAUAAUAAGUAAGCUAGAGAUUAAGAAUUGAAUAUAUAUAAACUGCAAAGAGAGUAAGUGGGAGAUGAACUGAUAAGAAUAUGGAAGUAUUGUUGAAUUGAUAGUCGUAGAAUGGAUUAUGUGUUGAAUUAAGAUGGAAGUAGUAAGCCUUGGUGUUUUGUAGUUUGAUAA
This 6906-nucleotide long non-coding RNA is filed under the name Physcomitrium patens. RNAcentral's name for it is "long non-coding RNA (PPAT_LNC014798)". The record is from RNAcentral. Lineage: Eukaryota; Viridiplantae; Streptophyta; Bryopsida; Funariales; Funariaceae.